UAGGGCCUUGCAGGCAGGAUGGGCAAACCCAUAUCCCGAAUACGUGUUGAUUCCAUUCAAAAUAGAGGACAUUCAUCACUUCUCUGGGAAAAGUAAAAUACAGUCAACUUGCUACCAAGUGGCUGGUUGUCCCUUUGAAAGGUGAUGCUGUAUGAAGGGCUCUGCCUAAUUUCUGUUGCUGUUAAGUCGGGCAGUCAGCAGGAGCAGUAUUUUGGUCAGCUUUGGGUUCUUUCCUGAAAUGGCAUCUCCUACUACCAGCCUUGGCCUGCAGAGAACACCUUCUCCAUGAUGCUGGUACUUCCCUCACCUGCGUGUUCUCCAGUACUUUGAUAAACAGUGGGUUAUCUAGACUGUCAUGAGCUGAGUCUUGAAGAAUGGAUAGAAGUAAAACACAUAAAAACGGAUGGGAUCAUGUGGGACAUCCUAGGCACAAGAGAGAGAAGCAAAAUAAAAGACUGAAGAAUUGGGAAAUUUCAUUUGUCCCUAGGGAGUACAGUACACAUGAAGGGGAAUAGUCAGGUCAAUGUAUAUUUUGCAGGUCAUGUCUUCUCUCUUCAUACAUCAGGAAGAUGAAGCAACACUGAAUCUACAGCUUACAA
This is a long non-coding RNA of Mustela erminea (ermine), 599 nucleotides long. RefSeq lists it as uncharacterized. The record is from RefSeq and is a predicted model, not a curated record. The transcript is spliced from 3 exons. NCBI's taxonomy places the organism in Eukaryota, Metazoa, Chordata, Mammalia, Carnivora, Mustelidae.